GCUUACGGCCACACCGCCUGGUUCACGCCCGAUCUCGUUUGAGAUCGGAAGCUAAGAUAGGUUGGGCCUGGUUAGUACUUGGAUGGGGAGACCGCCUGGGAAUACCAGGUGCUGUAAGUU
This 120-nucleotide ribosomal RNA is filed under the name Scophthalmus maximus (turbot). Lineage: Eukaryota; Metazoa; Chordata; Actinopteri; Pleuronectiformes; Scophthalmidae. The record is from RNAcentral.